UGCCAGCCGCCGCGGUAAUACAGAGGGUGCGAGCGUUAAUCGGAAUUACUGGGCGUAAAGGGCGCGUAGGCGGCUUAGUUAGUCGGAUGUGAAAGCCCCGGGCUUAACCUGGGAAUUGCAUUCGAUACUGCUGGGCUAGAGUAUGGUAGAGGAAAGCGGAAUUCCGGGUGUAGCGGUGAAAUGCGUAGAUAUCCGGAGGAACAUCAGUGGCGAAGGCGGCUUUCUGGACCAAUACUGACGCUGAGGCGCGAAAGCGUGGGGAGCAAACAGGAUUAGAUA
This 279-nucleotide ribosomal RNA is filed under the name uncultured bacterium. RNAcentral's name for it is "partial 16S ribosomal RNA". It matches the Rfam family "Bacterial small subunit ribosomal RNA", at positions 506 to 784 of the family's 1533-position model. The record is from RNAcentral.